RNAcentral lists this ribosomal RNA (382 nucleotides) under uncultured eukaryote. Its description in RNAcentral is "partial 18S ribosomal RNA". It matches the Rfam family "Eukaryotic small subunit ribosomal RNA", at positions 592 to 976 of the family's 1831-position model. The record is from RNAcentral.
CAAUAGCGUAUAUUAAAGUUGUUGCAGUUAAAAAGCUCGUAGUUGGAUUUCUGGUGAGAUGGAUUAUGUCAAGGUCGAAAGAUCUUGUUCAUGGUUCGUUUUGCCCUUCUUGUCAGGAACCCGCUGAGAUUCGCGUCUUGUCGGUGGAAUGGCAUCGUUUACUGUGAAAAAAUUAGAGUGUUCAAAGCAGGCAUCGCCGUUGAAUACAUUAGCAUGGAAUAAUAAGAUAAGACUUUGGUGGUCUAUUUUGUUGGUUUGCACGCCAAAGUAAUGAUUAAUAGGGAUAGUUGGGGGUAUUCGUAUUCUAUUGCUAGAGGUGAAAUUCUUAAAUUUAUGGAAGACGAACUACUGCGAAAGCAUUUACCAAGGAUGUUUUCAUUAA